This 159-nucleotide ribosomal RNA is filed under the name Clostridium perfringens. RNAcentral describes it as "partial 16S ribosomal RNA". It matches the Rfam family "Bacterial small subunit ribosomal RNA", at positions 1 to 158 of the family's 1533-position model. Lineage: Bacteria; Bacillati; Bacillota; Clostridia; Eubacteriales; Clostridiaceae. The record is from RNAcentral.
UAAAUUGAGAGUUUGAUCCUGGCUCAGGAUGAACGCUGGCGGCGUGCUUAACACAUGCAAGUCGAGCGAUGAAGUUUCCUUCGGGAAAUGGAUUAGCGGCGGACGGGUGAGUAACACGUGGGUAACCUGCCUCAUAGAGUGGAAUAGCCUUCCGAAAGG